RNAcentral lists this ribosomal RNA (253 nucleotides) under uncultured bacterium. RNAcentral's name for it is "partial 16S ribosomal RNA". It matches the Rfam family "Bacterial small subunit ribosomal RNA", at positions 524 to 776 of the family's 1533-position model. The record is from RNAcentral.
UCCGUAGGGUCCGAGCGUUGUCCGGAAUUAUUGGGCGUAAAGGGCUCGUAGGCGGUUCGUCACGUCGGGAGUGAAAACUCGGGGCUUAACCCCGAGCCUGCUUCCGAUACGGGCAGACUAGAGGUAGGCAGGGGAGAGCGGAACUCCUGGUGUAGCGGUGGAAUGCGCAGAUAUCAGGAAGAACACCGGGGGCGAAGGCGGCUCUCUGGGCCUUACCUGACGCUGAGGAGCGAAAGCGUGGGUAGCGAACAGG